UUACAGCCAUAUCGUGUUGAAUCAUCAGUUCUUGUAUGGACACCGAAGUUAAGCAGCAUUGAACCUGAUCAGUACUUAGAUGGGUGACCACUUGGGAAUACCAGGUGCUGUAAG
Non-coding RNA from Acanthosepion pharaonis, 114 nucleotides. The record is from the annotation of a GenBank genome assembly. Lineage: Eukaryota; Metazoa; Mollusca; Cephalopoda; Sepiida; Sepiidae.